Molecule: ribosomal RNA, 253 nt
Filed under: uncultured bacterium
Lineage: Bacteria
Description: partial 16S ribosomal RNA
Rfam family: Bacterial small subunit ribosomal RNA
Source: RNAcentral
UACGUAGGUCCCGAGCGUUGUCCGGAUUUAUUGGGCGUAAAGGGAGCGCAGGCGGGAAGCCAAGUCAGCUGUGAAAACUACGGGCUUAACUUGUAGACUGCAGUUGAAACUGGUUUUCUUGAGUGAAGUAGAGGUUGGCGGAAUUCCGAGUGUAGCGGUGAAAUGCGUAGAUAUUCGGAGGAACACCGGUGGCGAAGGCGGCCAACUGGGCUUUAACUGACGCUGAGGCUCGAAAGUGUGGGGAGCAAACAGG